Molecule: long non-coding RNA, 3970 nt
Organism: Scleropages formosus (Asian bonytongue)
Lineage: Eukaryota; Metazoa; Chordata; Actinopteri; Osteoglossiformes; Osteoglossidae
Source: Ensembl
UUUAUCCAAAACAUUCAGAUUAAAGUGGAUUUAUUAAGUCUAGAAAAUAAACUUUGGUCGAUAAAAAGAGUUUAACGAACAGUUUCAAUGGUUUUAUGCAGCGCGAACUUCGCUACGUCUGGGCCCGCGACACGGUCGGGCACGCGACACGCCCGUUCGCGAGCCACACGAAAAAAAGGCGCGCAUUUCUCAACCGCCGCCAGCGCGAGCGCACCGUCCGAACUGCCUCACUUCAUGUGAAAGAUACCCAGAGUUCUCCAUUACCUUUGUUGCCCUGUGGAUCGUUGAAACUGGACCUCAUCUUUUAAGCUAUUCUUUCUCCCGACCCUGCAGUGCAAAGCAUAACAUAAGAUUUUUGUUGCGAUGGAAAACUUUGAUCUUACAGAAACUCCCCUUAACAAUUAUUUAUGUGAAAAAGACUGUGAGACAUUAUUUACUAAACGAGCAAGAGUAAGCAGUGGUCUAGAAAAUGAAUAUCUUGCAACUGAAAAAUGUUUUGAAUGUAGCAGUGCUUCACAAAAUUUCAUAGAAACUUUGAAUACAAAGGCAAUCGGAGGCACUCCCGAGGAAGAAUUCCUAAAACUGCAGAGUUUAGAAGGUGGAGCAACUGGAGAUCAGCAUGCAAUGCAGAAAGAUAUUAAAUGCCCAGCAAAUACUGAAUCAGAAGACUUUACUGAAUGGGAUUUGACUCAAAGAAAAGAACAGCCAGUCACAGUAUUAUGUGUAGAAAGUGGCGUUAAAUGUUUGCUUAGAGAAAAUCUGGGUCAGGAAGGGCAAACACAAGGUCUUGAGAGUGAUGGGGACACAUCUCUUGUUUUUCACCUCGGAGGUGAUACAGGCGGUCCAUCACUAAUAGGUGAUAUGCAGAGGUAUUUACUGGAUUCCGAAAUGCCUGAUGUUGAAGAGGGAUCUAAAGACAACUGUGCUGAUCUAAACACAGUUACACAGUGGAGGACAGGUUCUGGAAACAGUGCUGAGACAGUGGACUGUGCUUUUGGAAAUACCACUGUGGAUGCAGCCCAACCAAGUUUGGACAAGACACCUUCAGUGAGUCAAGAUGCCAAUAAUGACAAUGAGCAUGAUGCAGAUCACGGUAGGAGCAGUGAAAAGAUGCCAGAGGUUGGUAUCUUGCUUACUGACCGUACAAACUCUUUGUCACAGUGUAAUGAGAAAAAUACCCCUUACGAUGUUACAAAAAUGGAAAAGAAUGAAAAGCAACAUGAAGGAAACAGAACAUCACUGAAGGUUGAUAAAAAACAUGGCAUGGAAGUCUGCAGAAUGGAAGAAAAAGCUAACAGCAUGCAUACUGAGUGUGCUAUACCUGAAAUGAUUGUAUAUAUCAAUGACCCUGUUGAUGCUAAAUCAAAAAAUAAUUUAGGGAGCAAUCUAGCCAGAAACAAUAUGGAGCUACAUCAUAUUCUCAGUGUAUCAGCAAGGGAGAAUCCAUUUUGUAAAGCUGCUGAAAAUUCUCGAUGUGAAGAAUACAUGGCUGGUAGAGGGCAGGAAAAGGACAGUUCAAAAACAGCAGCUGAUGUGAGGAAGGUGUCCAUUGUAACUGAGGCUGAUGUUGGCAGUGAAUCCAACAGAAUGGGACAAUCCAAACACAUUGCAACAAGGUCUGACACACAAAGGCUAGGGAAGCAAUCUGUAAAAAUAUUAGAAAAAAUAAACAGAAAUCAGCGAGACAGAUGUGAAGAAAGACACGGGAGGGAACAUGAUGAAGUUACAGAUGAUUCCUCUGUCGCCAUUUAUUACAGCAAAUAUAAACUGGAUGAAUUUCCUGUUACAAAGAGUGAUGUACUCACAGACAGCUCACUUCCAGUGAUGCUACAGGAAGAUGAAACGAUUGUAGAAGAUGGAAAGAAGAGUCUGAACAAUACACUAAUAGCCAACAUACAGUAUGGUGCCACGCAGAUUGGGGCAGAAGAUUUAAAUGAAAAUGUACACACAGAUACUCAUAUUGCUGAACAACAUUGCCCUGCCAGAGAUGAAACUGAAAUAGAAAACAGUGAAGAGCAUAGCUGUAAGAAAUUUUCCCCAAAAAGCACUUCUUUCUCUGUAAAUUAUAUAAAACUUUCAGAUGGAAAUAGUGUAGAAAUAGACAUUAGAUGUCCUUAUAGCAGUACAGUUUCCAGCAAACCUAUCCAUCAUGAGAGUAACUCUGACAGCACAGUAUCUCUUUUGAAUAAUCAGACAGGAAAACAAAUAGAAUGUUAUUCCAGUAAUACAGCUUUACAUACCGGGUUAGAAAACCCAAAUCAGGAACAAAUUUGUAGUAUCACUUCAAACAAACCUUCAAAGGAACUACCGAAUUUAUGCAACAUUGAAACUGUUACUGCUGCACAGAGUGAUGCUUGGAUUGAAAAAGACGUUCAUGAACAGCAAGAGAAAGUGCUAAAUGAAGAGGUCAAAGAGAGUAUGUCAGCAAAUAGCCGUGUUGAGGUAACUCAAGCAAUUGUCCCUGAAGGGAACUAUUUAUCUGAUGCCUUUCUGCCCAGUGAUGCAGUUGUGCCUCAGUGCAACUCUGAUCCGGUGGAUGAACAAGUCGGGGACAAAAAAGAAAAUGCUGCUCAGUCACCUCUUCCCUUCAUUCCUCACCCUGCUCCUGUAGCUCUGGACACUUUUGAAAAAAUUCAGCUGAUUCCUGAGGCAGAACUUGAAUGCAGUUUUCUUCUGAAUCCUAUUCCAAGUAGGAUAUUUAUGUCAGAGUCAAAUUCAGAUAUUAUGGAACCUUUGAAUGAGUCCAAACUGAUUCAACUAUCAAAUGAGCAAACUUUAGGUUGCUGCAGCACCAGUAAGCUAUUUACUGAAAAUAAAUGCCUUGAAGUUCGUUCUGGACACAGGUUUGCCCUUUGUAACAGCAGAAAUCAGAUGCACUCUAGUUACAGUGCCUGGGAUGAGAAGUAUAUUAACAAUGUUGUUUAUGGUAUGAAACAAGAGAAUCAGAUACCCUUAUAUUCACAACUUACUGCAACAGAAUGUUCUCAGGAGGCAGAGAAUUCAGUGGUCACUGCUGGUGGAAGUCCACCACAGAAUGUUUUACCUGAAGUCAAACAAUUCCCCUUAGAACUGACAGAAAAAAAAGGCAUCUGCACUUCAGAUGCAGAGGACAGAAACAUGUCUACUCUUGAAGUAAAACAGAAGUUUAACUUGGUACUUGAGGAGCUGCGUCUAUUUCAAGAAAUAAGUUCAGAAGCCGAAAAACUGCCUAGACACACAGAGUUUGCAACAAUGGCAAACACCAACCCUGAUGGGGAAAAUUCUGAUUUUGGUACUGGAUAUAUGAGAACUUCAAAAACACAACAUGAUGGCAUUCAUAAAGGUUUACAUUGCUCUAUGAUGGGAACUGUUACAGAAUGUUCAGAGAAUAAAAACAACAGUAGAAGUUCUGAAAGUGAGCAGGAAGUGCCUUUGGAAUGUGGUCACAUGGCAAUAGAGGUGGAAGAUUCAAUGUACUCUGCUGUCAAACAGAAAGAUGGGUGUAGAGAUACUUUGAAUGGAUGUAAAAACUGGACACCUGCUUUCUCAUUCUCUCCCUCCUUUGUUGGACAAAAUGAAGGACUAGCUGAGCAUCCUAGAAGACUGGAACCUUUAAAAACAUGCAGUCGUCCUAUAAGAGUUGGACUUUCCAAAAGAGCCAGACCCAAGCAGCUUCAUCGAUACCUCAAGCGAGGGUAUCAGACAUAAACACCAAGGCCUUGUUAAGCUUGGUCCUGAAACACCACAGUACAUUAGGUAUUGUAAGUUAUUUCCUAAGUUACUUAUUGCCAAAAAACCAAAAAGAUUAGACUUCUUAAAACUUGAUUAUGAGGUGAUUAUUAGGUGCCUCGAGUCCUUUAAACAGUUCUUUUAGGCUUAUAAGGAGCAUAAGCUUGGCCAGGAUAUGACUAGCUUAGGCAGUUGAUGCUUGUGCCUCACAGAGUUCAAGCAAGUUACAUCCAAAUAAAUAUUAAGGCGGCUUGCUUGACCA